CUUGCGCCUUGCCUUAGUGAAUGGAGCCUCUGAAACAAGGUUUGAGUAUAGCCGAAAGGGAGGAAGUGCCCUCUCAUCUUCUUCUUCAUCUUCUCCCAGUUAGUAAUUUUGGAUUUCCCCUGUCGCUCCCGUGAGCGCUUCAACUGUUCCCACCAUGCAGAUGCCCUACCUUUGAGUUUGAUGGCGACUAGUUUCACUUUAACACGAUCUGGAACCUCCUUAUAUUCAAAAAUCCGCUCCACUUCAUUCAACCAAUCAAUAAAUCCUUCAGCCUGCAACGUACCAGAAAACUCGGGCAGAUCCACUCUGAAAUCGAGAUCUACAUGACGAUCCUCCCGUCCACGAUGCUCCCAAACUCGAGCACAAUGGUGAUACGGGUUUUCGAAACUGGUAUCGGAAUCGUGACCUUCCACAUCAUGAUUACCGAACUCCUGUUCCGCCAAACGUUGGGUUAACUCCGCAACUUGUCUC
RNAcentral lists this long non-coding RNA (471 nucleotides) under Olea europaea (common olive). RNAcentral's name for it is "long non-coding RNA (OEUR_LNC000308)". Lineage: Eukaryota; Viridiplantae; Streptophyta; Magnoliopsida; Lamiales; Oleaceae. The record is from RNAcentral.